This 48-nucleotide non-coding RNA is filed under the name Trichobilharzia regenti. Lineage: Eukaryota; Metazoa; Platyhelminthes; Trematoda; Strigeidida; Schistosomatidae. The record is from RNAcentral.
AUCCGGCUGACCACGAGUCCCAAAUAGGACGAAGUGCGCUUCCUGGAU